RNAcentral lists this ribosomal RNA (486 nucleotides) under uncultured bacterium. RNAcentral's name for it is "partial 16S ribosomal RNA". It matches the Rfam family "Bacterial small subunit ribosomal RNA", at positions 30 to 507 of the family's 1533-position model. The record is from RNAcentral.
AUUGAACGCUGGCGGCAUGCCUUACACAUGCAAGUCGAACGGCAGCACGGGUGCUUGCACCUGGUGGCGAGUGGCGAACGGGUGAGUAAUACAUCGGAACAUGUCCUGUAGUGGGGGAUAGCCCGGCGAAAGCCGGAUUAAUACCGCAUACGAUCCACGGAUGAAAGCGGGGGACCUUCGGGCCUCGCGCUAUAGGGUUGGCCGAUGGCUGAUUAGCUAGUUGGUGGGGUAAAGGCCUACCAAGGCGACGAUCAGUAGCUGGUCUGAGAGGACGACCAGCCACACUGGGACUGAGACACGGCCCAGACUCCUACGGGAGGCAGCAGUGGGGAAUUUUGGGCCAUGGGCGAAAGCCUGAUCCAGCAAUGCCGCGUGUGUGAAGAAGGCCUUCGGGUUGUAAAGCACUUUUGUCCGGAAAGAAAUCCUUGACUCUAAUACAGUCGGGGGAUGACGGUACCGGAAGAAUAAGCACCGGCUAACUACGUG